RNAcentral lists this ribosomal RNA (255 nucleotides) under uncultured bacterium. RNAcentral's name for it is "partial 16S ribosomal RNA". It matches the Rfam family "Bacterial small subunit ribosomal RNA", at positions 526 to 779 of the family's 1533-position model. The record is from RNAcentral.
CGUAGGGUCCGAGCGUUGUCCGGAUUUAUUGGGCGUAAAGAGCUCGUAGGUGGCUUCGUAAGUCGGGUGUGAAACCCCAGGCUCAACCUGGGACGGCCACUCGAUACUGCGGUGGCUUGAGUCUGGUAGGGGAGUCACGGAAUUCCUGGUGUAGCGGUGAAAUGCGCAGAUAUCAGGAGGAACACCAGUGGCGAAGGCGGUGAUCUGGGCCAGUACUGACACUGAGGAGCGAAAGCGUGGGGAGCGAACAGGAUU